GAGUAACGCGUGAGGAACCUGCCUCAAAGAGGGGGACAACAGUUGGAAACGACUGCUAAUACCGCAUAAGCCCACGGGUCGGCAUCGACCAGAGGGAAAAGGAGCAAUCCGCUUUGAGAUGGCCUCGCGUCCGAUUAGCUAGUUGGUGAGGUAACGGCCCACCAAGGCAACGAUCGGUAGCCGGACUGAGAGGUUGAACGGCCACAUUGGGACUGAGACACGGCCCAGACUCCUACGGGAGGCAGCAGUGGGGAAUAUUGCACAAUGGGGGAAACCCUGAUGCAGCGACGCCGCGUGGAGGAAGAAGGUCUUCGGAUUGUAAACUCCUGUUGUUGAGGAAGAUAAUGACGGUACUCAACAAGGAAGUGACGGCUAACUACGUGCCAGCAGCCGCGGUAAAACGUAGGUCACAAGCGUUGUCCGGAAUUACUGGGUGUAAAGGGAGCGCAGGCGGGAAGACAAGUUGGAAGUGAAAUCUAUGGGCUCAACCCAUAAACUGCUUUCAAAACUGUUUUUCUUGAGUAGUGCAGAGGUAGGCGGAAUUCCCGGUGUAGCGGUGGAAUGCGUAGAUAUCGGGAGGAACACCAGUGGCGAAGGCGGCCUACUGGGCACCAACUGACGCUGAGGCUCGAAAGUGUGGGUAGCAAACAGGAUUAGAUACCCUGGUAGUCCACACCGUAAACGAUGAUUACUAGGUGUUGGAGGAUUGACCCCUUCAGUGCCGCAG
Molecule: ribosomal RNA, 727 nt
Filed under: uncultured bacterium
Lineage: Bacteria
Description: bacterial SSU rRNA
Rfam family: Bacterial small subunit ribosomal RNA
Source: RNAcentral